Molecule: ribosomal RNA, 253 nt
Filed under: uncultured bacterium
Lineage: Bacteria
Description: partial 16S ribosomal RNA
Rfam family: Bacterial small subunit ribosomal RNA
Source: RNAcentral
UACAGAGGUCUCAAGCGUUGUUCGGAUUCAUUGGGCGUAAAGGGCUGGUAGGCGGCCAACUAAGUCCGACGUGAAAUCCCAAGGCUUAACCUUGGAACUGCGUCGGAUACUGGAUGGCUUGAAUUCGGGAGAGGGAUGCGGAAUUCCAGGUGUAGCGGUGAAAUGCGUAGAUAUCUGGAGGAACACCGGUGGCGAAGGCGGCAUCCUGGACCGAGAUUGACGCUGAACAGCGAAAGCUAGGGGAGCAAACGGG